Molecule: ribosomal RNA, 490 nt
Filed under: uncultured bacterium
Lineage: Bacteria
Description: partial 16S ribosomal RNA
Rfam family: Bacterial small subunit ribosomal RNA
Source: RNAcentral
AUUGAACGCUGGCGGCAGGCCUAACACAUGCAAGUCGAACGGUAACAGGAAGCAGCUUGCUGCUUUGCUGACGAGUGGCGGACGGGUGAGUAAUGUCUGGGAAACUGCCUGAUGGAGGGGGAUAACUACUGGAAACGGUAGCUAAUACCGCAUAACGUCGCAAGACCAAAGAGGGGGACCUUCGGGCCUCUUGCCAUCGGAUGUGCCCAGAUGGGAUUAGCUAGUAGGUGGGGUAACGGCUCACCUAGGCGACGAUCCCUAGCUGGUCUGAGAGGGUGACCAGCCACACUGGAACUGAGACACGGUCCAGACUCCUACGGGAGGCAGCAGUGGGGAAUAUUGCACAAUGGGCGCAAGCCUGAUGCAGCCAUGCCGCGUGUAUGAAGAAGGCCUUCGGGUUGUAAAGUACUUUCAGCGGGGAGGAAGGGAGUAAAGUUAAUACCUUUGCUCAUUGACGUUACCCGCAGAAGAAGCACCGGCUAACUCCGUG